RNAcentral lists this ribosomal RNA (720 nucleotides) under Actinomycetes bacterium. RNAcentral's name for it is "bacterial SSU rRNA". It matches the Rfam family "Bacterial small subunit ribosomal RNA", at positions 28 to 736 of the family's 1533-position model. Lineage: Bacteria; Bacillati; Actinomycetota; Actinomycetes. The record is from RNAcentral.
GACGAACGCUGGCGGCGUGCUUAACACAUGCAAGUCGAACGAGAAAGCACUUCGGUGCGAGUACAGUGGCGAACGGGUGAGUAACACGUGGGCAACCUGCCCCGGAGAGAGGGACAACCCGAGGAAACUCGGGCUAAUACCUCAUGAUCCGUCCCGACUUAAGUCGGGCCGGCAAAUGGUAGCUUCGGCCUCCGCUCUGGGAUGGGCCCGCGCCGGAUUAGCUAGUUGGUUGGGGUAAUGGCCCACCAAGGCGACGAUCCGUAGCUGGUCUGAGAGGACGAUCAGCCACACUGGGACUGAGACACGGCCCAGACUCCUACGGGAGGCAGCAGUGGGGAAUCUUGCGCAAUGGGCGAAAGCCUGACGCAGCAACGCCGCGUGAGGGAAGAAGGCCUUCGGGUUGUAAACCUCUUUCAGGAGGGACGAAGCCACCAGGGUUAAUAGCCUAUGGGGUGACGGUACCUUCAGAAGAAGCCCCGGCUAACUACGUGCCAGCAGCCGCGGUAAUACGUAGGGGGCAAGCGUUGUCCGGAAUCAUUGGGCGUAAAGCGCGUGUAGGCGGCUUGGUAAGUCUGGCGUGAAAUCUUGGGGCUCAACCCCAAGCCUGCGUUGGAUACUGCCUCGCUCGAGUCCGGGAGAGGAAAGCGGAAUUCCCAGUGUAGCGGUGAAAUGCGCAGAUAUUGGGAAGAACACCGGUGGCGAAGGCGGCUUUCUGGAACG